GUCCAAAACCUAGCAUUCUAAAUAUCAUAGCACAGCCGCCGUUCCCUUUCAGAGAACAAGAGGCCGCUCGGAGGGGGAGGAGAGACAAAGGGAGGAACUCAGCGAUUUGCGAAGAGAUGAGGGCCAAGUGGAAGAAGAAGCGAAUGAGGAGACUUAAGAGGAAGCGCCGAAAGAUGAGGCAGAGAUCGAAGUAGGUGAUGAAGGUGUCAGCACCCUUGUGUCAACAUCUCACUGAAUGUGGUGUCUAUCCUGAUUCAUCCACCUGAUGUUGAGUGUGUUAUAGGAGGCGAAGCUACCUUCUGUCCUUUAAUUACUUGUUUGGCCGUAAUAGAAGUUAGAUGUUCUGCUUGACAGCGUAAUUCUCUUGUGUUUUGUUUAACCAUUGAGAACUUGUUUUAAGACAUUUUAUCUAGAAACAAUCCAAUGCCAACAUCGGGAUUCCAUCAAGUUUUAUUUGGAAA
Phoenix dactylifera (date palm) is the source of this 461-nucleotide long non-coding RNA. RefSeq lists it as uncharacterized. The record is from RefSeq and is a predicted model, not a curated record. Lineage: Eukaryota; Viridiplantae; Streptophyta; Magnoliopsida; Arecales; Arecaceae.